AUUGAACGCUGGCGGCAUGCUUUACACAUGCAAGUCGAACGGUAACAGGGGCUUCGGCCCGCUGACGAGUGGCGAACGGGUGAGUAAUGUAUCGGAACGUGCCCAGUAGUGGGGGAUAACUACGCGAAAGAGUGGCUAAUACCGCAUGAGAACUGAGGUUGAAAGCGGGGGAUCUUCGGACCUCGCGCUACUGGAGCGGCUGAGAUCAGAUUAGGUAGUUGGUGAGGUAAAGGCUUACCAAGCCUGCGAUCUGUAGCUGGUCUGAGAGGACGACCAGCCACACUGGGACUGAGACACGGCCCAGACUCCUACGGGAGGCAGCAGUGGGGAAUUUUGGACAAUGGGCGCAAGCCUGAUCCAGCAAUGCCGCGUGCAGGACGAAGGCCUUCGGGUUGUAAACUGCUUUUGUACAGAACGAAAUGUCUCUGGCUAAUACCUGGGGAAGAUGACGGUACUGUAAGAAUAAGCACCGGCUAACUACGUGCCAGCCGCCGCCGUAA
Molecule: ribosomal RNA, 500 nt
Filed under: uncultured bacterium
Lineage: Bacteria
Description: partial 16S ribosomal RNA
Rfam family: Bacterial small subunit ribosomal RNA
Source: RNAcentral